UGGGGAAUAUUGCACAAUGGGCGAAAGCCUGAUGCAGCAACGCCGCGUGAGUGAUGAAGGUCUUCGGAUUGUAAAGCUCUGUCUUUUGGGACGAUAAUGACGGUACCAAAGGAGGAAGCCACGGCUAGCUACGUGCCAGCAGCCGCGGUAAUACGUAGGUGGCGAGCGUUGUCCGGAUUUACUGGGCGUAAAGGGUGCGUAGGCGGAUGUUUAAGUGAGAUGUGAAAUACCCGGGCUUAACUUGGGUGCUGCAUUUCAAACUGGAUAUCUAGAGUGCAGGAGAGGAGAAUGGAAUUCCUAGUGUAGCGGUGAAAUGCGUAGAGAUUAGGAAGAACACCAGUGGCGAAGGCGAUUCUCUGGACUGUAACUGACGCUGAGGCACGAAAGCGUGGGUAGCAAACAGGAUUAGAUACCCUGGUAGUCCACGCCGUAAACGAUGAGUACUAGGUGUAGGAGGUAUCGACCCCUUCUGUGCCGCAGUAAACA
This 486-nucleotide ribosomal RNA is filed under the name uncultured bacterium. RNAcentral describes it as "partial 16S ribosomal RNA". It matches the Rfam family "Bacterial small subunit ribosomal RNA", at positions 355 to 857 of the family's 1533-position model. The record is from RNAcentral.